RNAcentral lists this ribosomal RNA (425 nucleotides) under uncultured bacterium. RNAcentral's name for it is "bacterial SSU rRNA". It matches the Rfam family "Bacterial small subunit ribosomal RNA", at positions 354 to 796 of the family's 1533-position model. The record is from RNAcentral.
GUGGGGAAUAUUGGACAAUGGGCGCAAGCCUGAUCCAGCCAUGCCGCGUGAGUGAUGAAGGCCUUAGGGUUGUAAAGCUCUUUCAGUGGGGACGAUAAUGACGGUACCCACAGAAGAAGCCCCGGCUAACUUCGUGCCAGCAGCCGCGGUAAUACGAAGGGGGCUAGCGUUGUUCGGCUUUACUGGGCGUAAAGCGCACGUAGGCGGAUCGUUAAGUCGGGGGUGAAAUCCUGGAGCUCACCUCCAGAACUGCCUUCGAUACUGGCGAUGUUGAGUCCGGAAGAGGUGAGUGGAACUCCUAGUGUAGAGGUGGAAUUCGUAGAUAUUAGGAAGAACACCAGUGGCGAAGGCGGCUCACUGGUCCGGUACUGACGCUGAGGUGCGAAAGCGUGGGGAGCAAACAGGAUUAGAUACCCGUGUAGUCC